AAGCCAGGCGGCGACGCCGAGCGGAACCCGAAAACCGGUCUCAGUUCGGAUCGGAGUCUGCAACCCGACUCCGUGAAGCUGGAUUCGCUAGUAAUCGCGCAUCAGCCAUGGCGCGGUGAAUACGUUCCCGGGCCUUGUACACACCGCCCGUCAAGCCAUGGGAGCCGGGGGUGCUUGAAGUGCGUCGCCGCGAGGCGCGCCCUAGAGCAAAACCGGUGACUGGGGCUAAGUCGUAACAAGGUACC
This 245-nucleotide ribosomal RNA is filed under the name uncultured bacterium. RNAcentral describes it as "partial 16S ribosomal RNA". It matches the Rfam family "Bacterial small subunit ribosomal RNA", at positions 1247 to 1500 of the family's 1533-position model. The record is from RNAcentral.